This 782-nucleotide ribosomal RNA is filed under the name uncultured methanogenic archaeon. RNAcentral's name for it is "bacterial SSU rRNA". It matches the Rfam family "Archaeal small subunit ribosomal RNA", at positions 143 to 920 of the family's 1478-position model. Lineage: Archaea; Methanobacteriati; Methanobacteriota. The record is from RNAcentral.
GGGGAUAUACUGGAUAGGCAAUUUUUCCUGUAAUGGUUUUUUGUUUAAAUGUUUUUUUCGCCUAAGGAUGGGUCUGCGGCAGAUUAGGUAGUUGGUUAGGUAAUGGCUUACCAAGCCUUUGAUCUGUACGGGUUGUGAGAGCAAGAGCCCGGAGAUGGAACCUGAGACAAGGUUCCAGGCCCUACGGGGCGCAGCAGGCGCGAAACCUCCGCAAUGUGAGAAAUCGCGACGGGGGGAUCCCAAGUGCCAUUCUUAACGGGAUGGCUUUUCAUUAGUGUAAAAAGCUUUUGGAAUAAGAGCUGGGCAAGACCGGUGCCAGCCGCCGCGGUAACACCGGCAGCUCUAGUGGUAGCAGUUUUUAUUGGGCCUAAAGCGUCCGUAGCCGGUUUAUUAAGUCUCUGGUGAAAUUCUGCAGCUUAACUGUGGGAAUUGCUGGAGAUACUAUUAGACUUGAGAUCGGGAGAGGUUAGAGGUACUCCCAGGGUAGAGGUGAAAUUCUGUAAUCCUGGGAGGACCACCUGUGGCGAAGGCGUCUAACUGGAACGAUUCUGACGGUGAGGGACGAAAGCUAGGGGCGCGAACCGGAUUAGAUACCCGGGUAGUCCUAGCUGUAAACGAUGCGGACUUGGUGUUGGAAUGGCUUUGAGCUGCUUCAGUGCCGAAGGGAAGCUGUUAAGUCCGCCGCCUGGGAAGUACGGUCGCAAGACUGAAACUUAAAGGGAAUUGGCGGGGGAGCACCACAACGCGUUGNAGCCUGCGGUUUUAAUUGGGAUUCAACGNCC